This 639-nucleotide ribosomal RNA is filed under the name uncultured bacterium. RNAcentral describes it as "bacterial SSU rRNA". It matches the Rfam family "Bacterial small subunit ribosomal RNA", at positions 232 to 885 of the family's 1533-position model. The record is from RNAcentral.
CGCGGCCUAUCAGCUUGUUGGUGGGGUAACGGCCUACCAAGGCAUCGACGGGUAGCUGGUCUGAGAGGAUGAUCAGCCACACUGGGACUGAGACACGGCCCAGACUCCUACGGGAGGCAGCAGUGGGGAAUCUUGCGCAAUGGGCGAAAGCCUGACGCAGCAACGCCGCGUGCGGGAAGAAGGCUCUCGGGUUGUAAACCGCUUUCAGCAGGAACGAAAAUGACGGUACUUGCAGAAGAAGGUGCGGCCAACUACGUGCCAGCAGCCGCGGUGACACGUAGGCACCAAGCGUUGUCCGGAUUUAUUGGGCGUAAAGAGCUCGUAGGCGGUUCGGUAAGUCGGGUGUGAAAACUUUGGGCUCAACCCAAAGCCUGCAUCUGAUACUGCUGUGACUAGAGUUCGGUAGGGGAGCGGGGAAUUCCUAGUGUAGCGGUGAAAUGCGCAGAUAUUAGGAGGAACACCGGUGGCGAAGGCGCCGCUCUGGGCCGAUACUGACGCUGAGGAGCGAAAGCGUGGGUAGCAAACAGGAUUAGAUACCCUGGUAGUCCACGCCGUAAACGUUGGGCACUAGGUGUGGGUUUCAACCAACGAAAUCCGCGCCGUCGCUAACGCAUUAAGUGCCCCGCCUGGGGAGUACGG